UGGCCUGUCGUGAAACCCAACCGUAUCCGCAUGAAACACUACAAUACUUGCUUUUGUCGUAGCCUUUGUACAUCGGCUGUCGGGUUGCUAAGAGGGACACCCGAAGCCCCGAGGAAGAACCGGUCCCUGUCGUCUCUCUCUGGAGUUUGGGCCUUUAAAUAUUCUGGCCGGAUAUGAACAAACUCCUUUGGACAGCGUUACAGUGACUCCGUCUUCCUCCGGCACUCUGUCGUUCCACUCCUGGACCUGUGAAAACAUUCAAACUGAAACGAUAAGGACCAAGGUGAUGAACCCACAUCAUUGUGGCAAGACAGAAGCUCCGAAAGUCCGUCUUGCUCUUUGCAGGGACCCCCUUAUGUUGGCUGAGGUGGUUGGACACCUCAGCCAUGUCCUCCUCUGUGAGAGCAAGGAUUUCGGACUCCUGGCUUGCAGCGCUGGAGGAAUCAAAGGG
Sinocyclocheilus grahami is the source of this 451-nucleotide long non-coding RNA. RefSeq lists it as uncharacterized. The transcript is spliced from 3 exons. The record is from RefSeq and is a predicted model, not a curated record. Lineage: Eukaryota; Metazoa; Chordata; Actinopteri; Cypriniformes; Cyprinidae.